UACGUAGGGUGCGAGCGUUGUUCGGAAUUACUGGGCGUAAAGCGCGCGCAGGCGGUUUUGUAAGUUUGUCGUGAAAUCCCCGGGCUCAACCUGGGAAUUGCGAUGAAGACUGCAAGGCUGGAGUCUGGCAGAGGGGGGUAGAAUUCCACGUGUAGCAGUGAAAUGCGUAGAGAUGUGGAGGAACACCGAUGGCGAAGGCAGCCCCCUGGGUCAAGACUGACGCUCAUGCACGAAAGCGUGGGGAGCAAACGGG
This 253-nucleotide ribosomal RNA is filed under the name uncultured bacterium. RNAcentral's name for it is "partial 16S ribosomal RNA". It matches the Rfam family "Bacterial small subunit ribosomal RNA", at positions 524 to 776 of the family's 1533-position model. The record is from RNAcentral.